Molecule: long non-coding RNA, 1595 nt
Organism: Labrus mixtus (cuckoo wrasse)
Lineage: Eukaryota; Metazoa; Chordata; Actinopteri; Labriformes; Labridae
Exons: 3
Source: RefSeq, a predicted model, not a curated record
GAGAACACUAGGCAACUGAAAAACUACAAGUAUGUUGAGAUAUAAAGGUCUUAUUUGUUCUUUGUGAAUGUCUAUGACGUUAAGGCAAACUUUCUAGAUAUGCACUAUAUGUACAUCAAAGAAAACACUGCUUAAAUUAUAUUCUUCAAAGAUUUGAAUAAGUACAACACAUAGGAAGAAAUUAUCUGUAAUAUCCAUCAUGUUGAGUCUGUCACAGUUAUUUUAUGAGCACCAUGCUGAUGUUUCUGCUGUGGUAAAAACCUAAAAAAAAUUGUGACUGAAUAAAUACAGUAUUUUACACAUUUUACUGACAUACAGUUUACUAAUGUUUUCAUGCAAGAGAAAAAACCAUACGGGCUGUACAAAAUCUUGCAACAUUGAUGGUCAAAGUGCAGCUAAAAUUUUAAGAUUUAUUUUCUAACUUCAUAGCUGCAACUCUGUAUACUGUGCACACAAACAAUUGUAUUGUUAUUUGCACAUGUAUUCUCCAGGUUUUCAAGCUACAGUAGCCAACAGGAGCGUUGCUGUGGGAAGCACAUCAUCCUGAGUUCUUCCGCUCUUCUCGUCCACUUGGAAAACUGCAUAACCUGACAGCCCACCUACAAAAUGACCUCUCUUGGAGUUUCCGUGACAACAGUUCCAACUUUGCAGAUCCUGAUGUCACCACAUACCUCCCCAGUAUUUCUGAACUUGUUGACACGAUCACUGAACAAGCACCAGCCAAGGCAGUGCAGGACAUGUUGAAGUACUUGGUGUAUGAGGACUGGCUCCUGGAGCUUUUGAAAAUCUGCCCCACCUGCUCCAGACUCUGUGAAGUUGACAUGUUUGUUAAAGGAACAUUCCUCUCUGUAACCCAGAAGUGCCUCUACACAUGUGUCUCUUCCUCAAGACUCCACAGCCCUGAUAACACCUGCUGAGAGUGAAAGGAGGGGAGAGGACACCAACUAGAGAACCAAGAACUAUGAGGACGGGAGGAAGCCAAGUUAGUAGCAUACAUGUGUGGGAAUGGAUUUGUACAGACAGAGAGGGAAUGGAGUAACGUAUUAAAAGUGUAUUAAAUAAAUGAAAUGACUUUAUAUAAAAUACAUGUCCAAACAUAACAAUACAUUAACUUGGAAAUCAUUUUAAUUGGAGGCCUAAAACCGGUGUACUCUUCCUCUUCAUCAGGGUACUCCUGGUGGAUACGGACAACAACGCAGGAAGGUAUCACUACCCGGUUGUGCUUUCCCAGGUAUCCCCAGCACCAGGAAACAAAGGAUGCCAGCACAUCAUGAUCCCUAGAAGAUGAAAGAUGGAUCAACCUGCAGCUUGCCUGAAAUCUAUUUGGCUGUAUGGAUUGGCCUGGACAUCUGUUUUUUUUCUUUGUUUGCUUUUUUCUGAUUUAUUUGGCCUUGGUGGAUGACUGCUCUCUACUGAGUAUAUUCUCUAGUCAUUUUUGGAUGUUCACUAACUUGUGUUUGUACUGUCUAGAACUUUUGUGAAUGUAAAACAUUUUUUUUGAUUAUUUACAUUUGUCUGUAGGCACCACCGAGUGUAGGCUUUUUAUUUAUAGCUCAGAGACACUUUACAUUCUAAUUGUUUGGCUGUGCAUUGAU